UGAGGAAUAUUGCGCAAUGCCCGAAAGGGUGACGCAGCGACGCCGCGUGGAGGAUGAAGGCCCUAUGGGUCGUAAACUCCUUUUGCGAGGGAAGAACAGAGCGCUACAGGCGUUCUUGACGGUACCUCGAGAAAAAGCAUCGGCUAACUACGUGCCAGCAGCCGCGGUAAUACGUAGGAUGCGAGCGUUGUCCGGAUUCACUGGGUGUAAAGGGAGCGCAGGCGGGUCGGUAAGUCAUUGGUGAAAUUCCCGGGCUCAACCCGGGGACUGCCACUGAUACUGCCGAUCUUGAGUGUGGAAGAGGUUGGUGGAAUUCAUGGUGUAGCGGUGAAAUGCGUAGAUAUCAUGAAGAACACCGAUGGCGAAGGCAGCCAACUGGUCCAUUACUGACGCUCAUGCUCGAAAGCGUGGGGAUCAAACAGGAUUAGAUACCCUGGUAGUCCACGCCCUAAACGAUGCAUACUUGGUGUGAGCCAUUCAGUUGGUUCGUGCCGGAGCUAACGCGUUAAGUAUGCCGCCUGGGGAGUACGGUCGCAAGGCUG
Molecule: ribosomal RNA, 542 nt
Filed under: uncultured bacterium
Lineage: Bacteria
Description: bacterial SSU rRNA
Rfam family: Bacterial small subunit ribosomal RNA
Source: RNAcentral